ACUCAGAUCAUGUUUUUGAUAAACAGGCGACCGGCCGCCUGUUUAUCAAAAACAUAGCUUGUUGUUUUUUAUAAUAAGUGUUCCCUGCCCGGUGAUUCUAAACGGCUGCGGUACUCUGACCGUGCAAAGGUAGCAUAAUCAUUUGUUCUUUUAUUGGGGACUGGAAUGAAUGGGAGUUUGGGAUUCCGUCUGUCUUUUCUUUAAGUUAGAAUUUGCUGUUUUUGUGAAGAAGCAAAAGUUUUCGAAAAAGACAAGAAGACCCUAUUAAGCUUUAUUUUUACUCUUUUACUAUUUCUUUCAAGUAUUUUUGUAGCAGGAUUAAAAAUUUGGUUGGGGUGACUAAAGAAGAUUAAAUCUUCUUUUUUUAAAUUGACUUUUGGUCAAAUAAUGACCCAAGAUUUUUUUGGUUUAAAGAAUUAGUUACUAUAGGGAUAACAGCGUAAUUUUUUCGGAAAGUUCUUAUUGAAGAAAAAGAUUGCGACCUCGAUGUUGACUUGUCAUAUCCUAAUAAGGUGCAGAAGCUGUUAGGGUCAGUCUGUUCGACUGUUAAAAUGAUACAUGAUCUGAGUUCAGACCGG
RNAcentral lists this ribosomal RNA (578 nucleotides) under Maculaura magna. RNAcentral describes it as "partial large subunit ribosomal RNA". It matches the Rfam family "Bacterial large subunit ribosomal RNA", at positions 1761 to 2619 of the family's 2925-position model. Lineage: Eukaryota; Metazoa; Nemertea; Pilidiophora; Heteronemertea; Lineidae. The record is from RNAcentral.